This 451-nucleotide ribosomal RNA is filed under the name Staphylococcus capitis. RNAcentral describes it as "bacterial SSU rRNA". It matches the Rfam family "Bacterial small subunit ribosomal RNA", at positions 55 to 488 of the family's 1533-position model. The record is from RNAcentral. Lineage: Bacteria; Bacillati; Bacillota; Bacilli; Caryophanales; Staphylococcaceae.
AUGCAAGUCGAGCGAACAGACGAGGAGCUUGCUCCUCUGACGUUAGCGGCGGACGGGUGAGUAACACGUGGAUAACCUACCUAUAAGACUGGGAUAACUUCGGGAAACCGGAGCUAAUACCGGAUAACAUGUUGAACCGCAUGGUUCAACAGUGAAAGACGGUCUUGCUGUCACUUAUAGAUGGAUCCGCGCCGCAUUAGCUAGUUGGUAAGGUAACGGCUUACCAAGGCAACGAUGCGUAGCCGACCUGAGAGGGUGAUCGGCCACACUGGAACUGAGACACGGUCCAGACUCCUACGGGAGGCAGCAGUAGGGAAUCUUCCGCAAUGGGCGAAAGCCUGACGGAGCAACGCCGCGUGAGUGAAGAAGGUCUUCGGAUCGUAAAACUCUGUUAUUAGGGAAGAACAAAUGUGUAAGUAACUAUGCACGUCUUGACGGUACCUAAUCAGAA